AUGCAUGAAGAACAGGGGCUUAUCUGCAAAACUGUCUUUCUCUCGAAAUUAGAAAAAAUUCUCAGCAGGAAAAAAAAGGCACCUCGGGCUGAAUCUGUUGGCCCAACAACAGAAAAAAAUAGAGGGGCUUCGGUGGGGUGGCCUCACCAUGGGCUUUGGCCCAGCUGGAAAGGAAGGAGGCCGGUUGCUGGGCCAGCAGCGGUGUGGCCUAGUUCGGUGGAUCUGGAGGUCGAUGGGCCACUCCAGAUCGAGGCGACUCCAGAUCGAGGCGACGCCGGGUCCAGGCGAAGUCAACGCGGGCGAGGUGUUCGCUCUCUCGAAGGAAAUAGAGGAUGCAGUGCCAGGGGCCGAGGCGAUGCAGACAAGGGUCAACGACGGCGGCACGACGCGGCAGUAGCUCCGGCGAGGUGGUGGAGGCCGGCGGAAGGGUUCGGAAAGGGGGAAGUGUCUGUUCCCAGCGGCGGAUCCCGGCUUGGCAGUACCUGUCCAUGGCAGGGAGAGACAGGGGCAUAA
Molecule: ribosomal RNA, 513 nt
Filed under: Triticum aestivum (bread wheat)
Lineage: Eukaryota; Viridiplantae; Streptophyta; Magnoliopsida; Poales; Poaceae
Description: partial small subunit ribosomal RNA
Source: RNAcentral